This 253-nucleotide ribosomal RNA is filed under the name uncultured bacterium. RNAcentral's name for it is "partial 16S ribosomal RNA". It matches the Rfam family "Bacterial small subunit ribosomal RNA", at positions 524 to 776 of the family's 1533-position model. The record is from RNAcentral.
UACGUAGGAGGCGAGCGUUGUCCGGAAUUACUGGGCGUAAAGGGCGCGUAGGCGGUCCGAUAAGUCCCGUGUGAAAGCCCCCGGCUCAACUGGGGAACUGCACGGGAAACUGACGGACUUGAGUUCGGGAGAGGGAAGCGGAAUUCCGGGUGUAGCGGUGAAAUGCGUAGAUAUCGGGAGGAACACCAGUGGCGAAGGCGGCUUCCUGGCCUGUUCUUGACGCUGAGGCGCGAAAGCUAGGGGGGCAAACGGG